RNAcentral lists this ribosomal RNA (379 nucleotides) under uncultured bacterium. RNAcentral describes it as "partial 16S ribosomal RNA". It matches the Rfam family "Bacterial small subunit ribosomal RNA", at positions 338 to 710 of the family's 1533-position model. The record is from RNAcentral.
CCUACGGGAGGCAGCAGUAGGGAAUUUUCGUCAAUGGGGGGAACCCUGAACGAGCAAUGCCGCGUGAGUGAAGAAGGUCUUCGGAUCGUAAAGCUCUGUUGUAAGAGAAAAACGGGUAUCAUAGGGAAUGAUGAUAUCGUGAUGGUAUCUUACCAGAAAGCCACGGCUAACUACGUGCCAGCAGCCGCGGUAAUACGUAGGUGGCAAGCGUUAUCCGGAAUGAUUGGGCGUAAAGGGUGCGUCGUCGGCAAAAUAAGUCUGAAGUAAAAGGCGGGGGCUCAACCAACGUAAGCUUUGGAAACUGGUGAGCUUGCGUGCGGGGAAGGUUAGCGGAAUUCGAUGUGUAGCGGUAAAAUGCGUAGAUAUAAGGAGGAACACC